RNAcentral lists this ribosomal RNA (246 nucleotides) under Gammaproteobacteria bacterium. Its description in RNAcentral is "partial 16S ribosomal RNA". It matches the Rfam family "Bacterial small subunit ribosomal RNA", at positions 1290 to 1533 of the family's 1533-position model. Lineage: Bacteria; Pseudomonadati; Pseudomonadota; Gammaproteobacteria. The record is from RNAcentral.
AGUCCGGAUUGGAGUCUGCAACUCGACUCCAUGAAGUCGGAAUCGCUAGUAAUCGCGGAUCAGAACGCCGCGGUGAAUACGUUCCCGGGCCUUGUACACACCGCCCGUCACACCAUGGGAGUGGGCUGUACCAGAAGUGGGUAGUCUAACCUUCGGGAGGACGCUUACCACGGUAUGGUUCAUGACUGGGGUGAAGUCGUAACAAGGUAGCCGUAGGGGAACCUGCGGCUGGAUCACCUCCUUUAA